Molecule: ribosomal RNA, 241 nt
Filed under: uncultured bacterium
Lineage: Bacteria
Description: partial 16S ribosomal RNA
Rfam family: Bacterial small subunit ribosomal RNA
Source: RNAcentral
AGAGUUUGAUCAUGGCUCAGGAUGAACGCUGGCGGCGUGCUUAACACAUGCAAGUCGAACGAAGCACUUUAUUAUGAUUUCUUCGGAAUGACGAUUUAGUGACUGAGUGGCGGACGGGUGAGUAACGCGUGGGUAACCUGCCUUAUACAGGGGGGAUAACAGUUAGAAAUGACUGCUAAUACCGCAUAAGCGCACAGGAUUGCAUGAUCUGGUGUGAAAAACUCCGGUGGUAUAAGAUCGG